UUCCAGACUCCUACGGGAGGCAGCAGUGGGGAAUAUUGCACAAUGGGGGGAACCCUGAUGCAGCGACGCCGCGUGGGUGAAGGAGUACUUCGGUACGUAAAGCCCUAUCAGCAGGAAGGAAAAUGACGGUACCUGACUAAGAAGCCCCGGCUAACUACGUGCCAGCAGCCGCGGUAAUACGUAGGGGGCAAGCGUUAUCCGGAUUUACUGGGUGUAAAGGGAGCGUAGACGGCAGUGCAAGUCCGGAGUGAAAGCCCGGGGCUCAACCCUGGGACUGCUCUGGAAACUGUAAAGCUGGAGUGCGGGAGGGGCAGGCGGAAUUCCUGGUGUAGCGGUGAAAUGCGUAGAUAUUAGGAGGAACACCAGUGGCGAAGGCGGCUUACUGGACAGUAACUGACGUUGAGGCUCGAAAGCGUGGGGAGCAAACAGGAUUAGAUACCCGGGUAU
Molecule: ribosomal RNA, 447 nt
Filed under: uncultured bacterium
Lineage: Bacteria
Description: bacterial SSU rRNA
Rfam family: Bacterial small subunit ribosomal RNA
Source: RNAcentral